UCCGGCUUAACGCCGGCAGUCCCCCCAGAGUCCCCGGCCGAACCGCUGGCAACUGGGAGCGAGGGUUUCGCUCGUUGAGGGACUUAACCCGACAUCUCACGACACGAGCUGACGACAGCCAUGCAGCACCUGUGCAUGCUCCCCUUGCGGGGUCGUUACCCUUUCAGGCUUCUACUACAUGCAUGUCAAGGCCAGGUAAGGUUCUUCGCGUUGCAUCGAAUUGAGCCACAUACUCCACCGCUUGUGCAGGCCCCCGUCAAUUUCUUUGAGUUUUAAUCUUGCGACCGUACUCCCCAGGCGGAUGACUUCUCGCGUUAGCUGCGUUACUAAAGGAUUUAACUCCUCCAACAACUAGUCAUCAUCGUUUAGGGCGUGGACUAC
Molecule: unclassified non-coding RNA, 381 nt
Filed under: uncultured bacterium
Lineage: Bacteria
Description: contains 16S-23S intergenic spacer region
Source: RNAcentral